Molecule: long non-coding RNA, 1645 nt
Filed under: Mus pahari (shrew mouse)
Lineage: Eukaryota; Metazoa; Chordata; Mammalia; Rodentia; Muridae
Description: lncRNA (MGP_PahariEiJ_G0004823.1)
Source: RNAcentral
CACGGUUCCUCCGUGGUUCCUGUGUUUGCUCCUGUCUGGGACCUUGCCCUGAUUUUCCUAACAGAUGAAGUGUGAUCAUUACUUGGCUUCAAAACUUGUGCAGGUGUUUGCUCCAGAUAAGGAACCUUGCCCCAGCAUCUGACCAUCCAUCAGCCAGCUAUUUGACACAGAUAAGAUUCUAAUUUUUUACACUGAAUAGCCAGUGUCUGGAGCCGAACAGGAACAGGCCAAGAACAUGGUUUUCCUCAAACGCAUACAUUUAAACACAUUUAAUCUGAAUGGGGAUGAAGUCGGCCUGGGGACAUUUACUUUGCAGGAAAUCUAAGUUGCACUACGGUGAAUGCAGUGGACAGACUGGAGGCGAGCUGCGGGCUCUCAGGAGAGUUAGCUCUUCUGGCACUUCAGGUAGGUCAACACAAAGAGACACAGCUCUCCAGACUGCUCCUAGAGAAAACUGGUCUCCCAGGAGUGCUGACUCACAGGCUUGCAGGAGGGCCAGGCCACAGUCAGAGACAGCAAGACCAGCUAACACCACAGAUAACCAGAUGGCGAGAGGCAAGGGCAAGAACGUAAGCAAAGAUGUGAAGACAGGCUCUAUAGUAGAUCAUAAUAUUAAUGUGGGUUUCUUGGUUGCAAUAAUUUCAUUAUGGGGCUGCAAAGGAGAUAACAUUGUUCUUUGGAUAUAUGUGCCAAAUGCUUAGGGGUGGCAUGUCACUGUGUGCAUUGGUGAGGACAUGGAGUGGGAGAGAAGGAGGGGGAGAGAGAAAGGAAGGGACAGAUUGAUAUUAAGCGAAGUGUGAAUAAUCUAUGCAGGGUAUAUACUUGUUCUUGCAUUGUCCCUUCACCUUUGAACACUUUAGACUUUGGGGGGCGGGGGAAACCCAGCACUACGGAUCACUGCAGACUAACUAAAGCAUGACACAUGUCUGUAUCCAUAAGCAGUGCUAAGCAAGGUGGACGUUCUCCCUUUACGUCCUCGCAGACGUGUUUGCUGUAGUUUCCAUAAUCUCAGGUCUUCGCAGGCAGUGCUGACAAAUAGAGUUUAGCUAAUUCCCUGAAUUCCGGCUUCUAAGACAGUAAAUCUAGUCGAUCUAACUCUGAUUCAAGUUCAAGCUGACUGUGGGCUAGUCACCAGUAACCGAGGGGCUGAGAAUGUUGUAGCCGCACAGACACACUGUGGACCCAGUUUCUAGAGUGGGAAGGGCUGACUGUCUGCCGGCUGGGGUUCCUUCAAAGGGUCUAACGCAGGGGGUGACUUUUGAGCUAUGUUGACAUGAGUUAGUAGGAAAAGCCCGUGUGGUUGCUGCUCAUCGGGGACAGCCUCCCUAGGGACAGCCUCUGCUGAGACUUUGUUCUCCAAAGCAGAGCUCCCCACUCAGAUAUAUACACACCUAUCAGUAAAUGACCCAUCUAUUUACUAUUUUAUAUUAUAAAACGUGCGCAGUGGUAUGACUUAAUAUAUAUGAAAUAACACCAAGUCAGAGUUCACAGAGUCCCUUGUCUGACUCUAGUGUUUUUAUAACCUUAUCUUGCAAUGCUUCAGCAAUUUCUAUUUAUUGCAGGAACUUGUUUGUGCCCAUUCACACAUUUAUUGACGCCUACAGGAGCUUUUAAUUUGCAAAAUUAAAAAAGGAGCAAAAUGAAA